RNAcentral lists this long non-coding RNA (266 nucleotides) under Capra hircus (goat). RNAcentral's name for it is "lncRNA (ENSCHIG00000001068.1)". Lineage: Eukaryota; Metazoa; Chordata; Mammalia; Artiodactyla; Bovidae. The record is from RNAcentral.
CAGGCAUCCCUCUGAGGACAGGGCCUGAGAGACUGCAGAGAUUGCUGGCUGUGCAGUGACCCUGGGGCAGGCACUGUUGGGCCUCCUGGUCUAGAGAAAUUUCAAGUGGGGCACCUGUGCCAGCCAUAAAUGACAUGAAUUCAGUGGAGCUCAACUAAGAAAAAUGAAAAGAGCCAAAGAGGAGGCAAUUGAAACCAUGUCUGGAGAUAUUAAAAAUUCUUUCCCAUGUAUGCCAUACAGUGUAUUGGGCAGAAUUCCCACUGUUC